GUGGUCUCUCAGUUUUCUGAGACCUGAUGUCCACUCCGAGGCUCUUGCUGUCGCCAUCGCUUCUGUGCCAGCGACCUGUCCUCCGGGCAGGACGUCGUCUCCGGAGAGAGACAUCAGGAUGAAGACGGACGGAAACGAGUCCGCCAGUCCCCACCCUGGGUGAACCGGCAGGAAGUGACAUCAUCGACCUGAAGGUCACGAUGACGCUGGGAGCCU
Molecule: long non-coding RNA, 216 nt
Organism: Notothenia coriiceps (black rockcod)
Lineage: Eukaryota; Metazoa; Chordata; Actinopteri; Perciformes; Nototheniidae
Exons: 3
Source: RefSeq, a predicted model, not a curated record